This is a long non-coding RNA of Poeciliopsis prolifica (blackstripe livebearer), 438 nucleotides long. RefSeq lists it as uncharacterized. The transcript is spliced from 4 exons. The record is from RefSeq and is a predicted model, not a curated record. NCBI's taxonomy places the organism in Eukaryota, Metazoa, Chordata, Actinopteri, Cyprinodontiformes, Poeciliidae.
CAAGAAAGCUCAACCCUUAACAUUACGGUCCAUUCUGUAGGCUGAAAUUACAAAGAACCGAAACUGCAAAUGAUAUCAUGCAGCAGGGAACAGUUUGUGUGAGUCAACAACGAAGACUAAACACCGGGCGGACGGCAGCCUUGGUAAACAACCAUGCAUCAUGGUCCGCCUUCUUUGACAUCCCUCCAUCUGGGCUCCUCUUCGUUUCCAUAGAAAAAAAAGUUCAAUCAGGAGCGAGUGACUGUCAGCUGGUGUGUGGGGAUAAUGAAGUCAGAUCCCAAGGGAGAAAGCUGAGAGGAGAACAACAAAAAAGCAGUUUCAGUUCACUUCCACUGAUCUGCUCUCAGCCUCAUGAAUUCUAGUUGGACUCCAGUCUCACCACAUCGGACAGCAGGUUCUACUGGGCAACCGUGAAGGCCACAUGAACAGAGAACAUCG